Molecule: ribosomal RNA, 459 nt
Filed under: uncultured organism
Description: partial 16S ribosomal RNA
Rfam family: Bacterial small subunit ribosomal RNA
Source: RNAcentral
UACACUCCUGCGGGAGGCAGCAGUGGGGAAUAUUGCACAAUGGGCGCAAGCCUGAUGCAGCGACGCCGCGUGGGGGAUGAAGGCCUUCGGGUUGUAAACUCCUUUCGCUAGGGACGAAGCUUUUUUGUGACGGUACCUAGAUAAGAAGCACCGGCUAACUACGUGCCAGCAGCCGCGGUAAUACGUAGGGUGCGAGCGUUGUCCGGAAUUACUGGGCGUAAAGGGCUCGUAGGUGGUUUGUCGCGUCGUCUGUGAAAUUCUGGGGCUUAACUCCGGGCGUGCAGGCGAUACGGGCAUAACUUGAGUGCUGUAGGGGUAACUGGAAUUCCUGGUGUAGCGGUGAAAUGCGCAGAUAUCAGGAGGAACACCGAUGGCGAAGGCAGGUUACUGGGCAGUUACUGACGCUGAGGAGCGAAAGCAUGGGUAGCGAACAGGAUUAGAUACCCGGGUAGUCCCAUG